GUAAGUAAGAAAUGAUUCUGAUUGUUAUUUUAUAUCCAUGCUGUAUGUCUUCCUUCAUAAAUACCUAUUCAUACUGUGGUUAUACAAGUAAUCGGAAGACAUCAGUGAAAGUCUGAAAAAAAAGAAAGAAAAAAGCAGAAACAGAAAAACGUCUUCUCCAUCUGCUAAUGCAACGCCUGAUGGUAUUUCUGGUCGCUGCUUUGCUACUAUAGGGCACUUUCAUAGCUCGGCUUCCCACCCGGGGCCUUGCAGUCAGGCGGCUUGAGUUUACACUCAUCUCCCCUUCUCACCAGCAUUUUGACCGCAGGCGGAUUCUUUACCAGCUGAGCCACCAGGGAAGCCCAAGAAUACUGGAGUGGGCAGCCUAUCCCUUCUGCAGGGGGUCUGAACCGGGAUCUCCUGCAUCGCAGGCGGAUUCUUUACCAGCUGAGCCGCUGUAACUAUGGAACCUAAAUAGCUUAUAGAUGGUGCAAAAAACGACCUUUGCAAACCCAAACUGCUGCUGCUGAUGGUGUAAUUGCUUCUGGGAAUCCAGUGUGAGAAUCUGACGCAGAGAAGCAUGUGAACAGUGAGCGGUUUCACCACCAUUUCCCACACUCGUCCACACUGUGAUCCACAGGCUGCCCUGAGACACGUCCUUGCGUUUCAAGCAUCUUUGAAAACCCCAGCUUGCCCACCGCCAGUUUCCUUUCAGACCUCUUGAUUUAACACUUUGAAGGGGCCGGACUAACCUGCCAUCUACAAAGAAAGAGAAUGAAUUCCGCCUAAGAGACACAAAUCCUCUGGAAUGAUCCUUCACCUGACAGCUCUCCAAACAACUGAAGCG
Bos taurus (domestic cattle) is the source of this 826-nucleotide long non-coding RNA. The record is from Ensembl. NCBI's taxonomy places the organism in Eukaryota, Metazoa, Chordata, Mammalia, Artiodactyla, Bovidae.